RNAcentral lists this long non-coding RNA (1260 nucleotides) under Phoenix dactylifera (date palm). RNAcentral's name for it is "long non-coding RNA (PDAC_LNC002119)". The record is from RNAcentral. Lineage: Eukaryota; Viridiplantae; Streptophyta; Magnoliopsida; Arecales; Arecaceae.
UUUCUUUGAGGUGUUCUGGGUCAUAUAGUCAUUAUAUUCCUGUUGGUUCUUAAGCUUGGUAUGGAAUAUCUAGUAUAUCCAAGGUGUAAUUUAGAGUGUUGAGACCUAUGCGGAUUAUCUUGGAAGCACUUGCAAUUGCAACUGAAGCAGGUAAAACUUCCUGAAGCCUUUGUUCCUGUUGUCUAAAUUCAUGUAUGUUCAAAUAAUUCUUUUAGACCAAGACAUGUAGCUCAUCUUUCACAGCAAAUUCCUUCUUGACUCAGGUGAUAACAAGCUGGUGUUAUAAAUAAAUCUGCAACACCAUUUGGAACAUUUUCCCAUAUGCGUGAGCAUUGUCUUGAUUUAUCUUUCUGCAUAUUGUUAUUAUGAUACUUCACUGGCAAUUUUGCAGGUCUUGAAAGGACCAGUUAUUUCAACCCCAAAUAACUACCUGGAGAUGUCAACUCUUCCAUUGUUAGCGGCGGCCUCAACAUUUCCCUUCCUUUCCUGUUUGCUUUCUGCACAAGAGGCUGCACGGUACAAUAAAACGUAAGAAAAAGCGCAAACAAUCUCAAGCUUUGCGACUUUUUAAUAAUUUUCACCUUUCAUAUUGAUGCAGGAGCAUGGGCUCAAAGCAUGCAUGGAGAUCGAGUCCUCUCCUUGAGUAUGCAUCGAAUUAUAUUGGGUCGAAGAGUUUUAGUGCUAAAACACAUUGGAUCCACGAGUUUUAGCGCCAACACACACAUUGAGUCCAAGAGUUCUAGCACCAAAACAUAUUGGGUCCAAGAUUUCUAGCAUCUAGUUAUAUUGGGUUUUAAUGUUUCAACGCCCUAUUACAUUGAGACCUAGUAGCGUUGAAGAGUUCUAAUUUAUUUGGCAUUUUUGUAAUGGGUCCAUGUGUCGUAAAAGAGUCUUAGCUAAUUUAGAUACUUAGUCAUAUAUCAAUUAGAGAGUUCAAGUUAAUUAGUAGUCUUAAGUUUAGAAGUUUGUGUCCAACAUUGGGUGUGUCUAAUAUUAUAUUGAGUCUUUUUGUUUGGGCAUAUUAAGUUCUCUUGAGUUAGUGUCCAAUGCCUAAAUCACAUUGAGUCUAAGGCGUUGAAAAGUUCUUGUGUGUGUGUGGAGUCUAGUCAUUUAGUCCUCGUGACAUUUGGGAAGAGUCCUAGCCGACUUGGACUCUCAUUCCAUGCGCCAUGAAGAGUUCAAGUCGAGUGGGAGUCCUAUCUUGUUAGUUAAUUUAGACAAUUGUUUAAUUUAAAAGAGUCCAUGUCAAGUAGGAGUCCU